This 391-nucleotide ribosomal RNA is filed under the name uncultured Telonemia. RNAcentral's name for it is "partial small subunit ribosomal RNA". It matches the Rfam family "Eukaryotic small subunit ribosomal RNA", at positions 30 to 432 of the family's 1831-position model. Lineage: Eukaryota; Telonemia. The record is from RNAcentral.
GCUUGUCUCAAAGAUUAAGCCAUGCAUGUCUAAGUAUAAGCCUUUAUAUGGUGAGACUGCGAAUGGCUCAUUAAAUCAGAAACUGUUUAUUUGAUAGUGCCUACUACAUGGAUACCUGUAGUAAUUCUAGAGCUAAUACAUGCAAAAAGCCUGGACUUCUGGAACAGGCGUAUUUAUUAGAUACAACCAACCCCUCACGGGUUUCUGGUGAAUCAUAAUAACCGAACGAACCGUAUGCGCAAGCGACGGUGGUUCAUUCAAGUUUCUGCCCUAUCAGCUUUCGAUGGUAGGGUAUUGGCCUACCAUGGCGUUAACGGGUAACGGAGAAUUAGGGUUCGAUUCCGGAGAGGGAGCCUGAGAGAUGGCUACCACAUCCAAGGAAGGCAGCAGG